Molecule: long non-coding RNA, 485 nt
Organism: Pseudophryne corroboree (corroboree frog)
Lineage: Eukaryota; Metazoa; Chordata; Amphibia; Anura; Myobatrachidae
Exons: 5
Source: RefSeq, a predicted model, not a curated record
UUCUGAGUUGCUGAGCAUUCCUUGUGAGACCAGGAAGAGAGGCCGGAUGUGACGUUCCCUCAGCCAUAUAAAUACGGCCGGCCGCGACUGUAACGCCCUCUUGUCAUUGGUGCCAUCUUAGGAAGGCUCUUCUUCUGAAGAUGAGAGCCAAGUGGAGGAAGAAGCGUAUGCGCAGACUGAAGCGUAAGAGGAGAAAGAUGAGGCAGAGGUCAAAGUAAACGUCUCCCAUUGCUGCUUCUGAGGUCUGCAAGCUGAAAACACUCCUGAAAAGAAACUGCCUUGACCAGAUCACCUGAAAUGGUUUUCAAACUGGGACUAUAAUCAUAUGGCACAUGUCACCUAUAACUGGAAGUCUCCACAGUGUACAAUCUGAGGCCAUGAUGUGUUGGACAGGCAUGCUGACACCUUCUGUCAGGAGUUUGGACUUGUUUGUUUCUGGUCUCAUGCAGCAAGUAUAAUAAAAAAAACCUUGUGGUUAAACAAAA